AGCGAACGCUGGCGGCAUGCCUAACACAUGCAAGUCGCACGGGGGGGCUUCGGCCUCCCAGUGGCGGACGGGUGAGGAACGCGUAGGGACCUGUCGAGGGGUGGGGGAUAACCGCGGGAAACUGCGGCUAAUACCGCAUGACGCCGCGGCGUGACAGCCGGGGCCAAAGGCGAAAGCCGCCCGCCGAGGGGCCUGCGUCCGAUUAGCUGGUUGGCGGGGUAGCGGCCCACCAAGGCGUCGAUCGGUAGCUGGUCUGAGAGGGUGAUCAGCCACACCGGGACUGAGACACGGCCCGGACUCCUACGGGAGGCAGCAGUGGGGAAUAUUGGACAAUGGGCGCAAGCCUGAUGCAGCAAUGCCGCGUGGGUGAAGAAGGUCUUCGGAUUGUAAAGCCCUUUCGGCGGGGACGAUGGUGACGGUACCCGCAGAAGAAGCCCCGGCUAACUUCGUG
This 451-nucleotide ribosomal RNA is filed under the name uncultured bacterium. Its description in RNAcentral is "partial 16S ribosomal RNA". It matches the Rfam family "Bacterial small subunit ribosomal RNA", at positions 28 to 507 of the family's 1533-position model. The record is from RNAcentral.